UAGUAUUUAUUAUUUGUGCUUUUAGCUUAUGCGUGUGUAUGAAGGUUUCUUUUGCUCCUCUCUCUCAAUUUCCUUUAGAAAGAGGGGCUGAGAGGGCCAUUAAUUUGUAGAUAUAGUCAGGUUGAAAAGGGAGAGCUUUUUGUACCCCUUACUGUUUCUCCAAACACUUGCCUUUGAAUUUACUUAAAUGUCAUUUUCAUUUCCAUCUCUCCUCCUUUCUUCUUUGUAGCCAUCAUGCUUUCAAGAAAAGUUCAA
Molecule: long non-coding RNA, 255 nt
Filed under: Prunus persica (peach)
Lineage: Eukaryota; Viridiplantae; Streptophyta; Magnoliopsida; Rosales; Rosaceae
Description: long non-coding RNA (PPER_LNC002783)
Source: RNAcentral